CCUCAGCAUCUCUUCCUCCAUCGUCGUCGUUGAAGGCUUGUAGAUUGAUUUUACAUACUACUUGAUUAAUUUAGUUGAAUUGUUGAAUUAAUAACAAUAGUUCCAAUAUACAUCUCUCUCUCUCUCUCCACGCACAUCUCUUUCAGUUUAAUCGGUUGAAGAAGCUUACAUAAUCCUUUUCUUCUUUUCAUUGUUUUUGCAGUUUCGAGUUCGAUCAUGUCGAAGGACAAAGACUUUACCGAUUUGUCGCUCACCUUCAAACACCUCUUAGGCAUCUUAUGGCUCUGUGUUUUCCUCUGAAGAUUAUCAAAGAAGUGUUACUAAUGAGAGACGGCCCUUGAAAAAGCCAAGCAACUAGUAAGGAACUUAGAAACAAAGCUUGAUUCAGCUAAUGCUCAGCACCUUAAGGAGAAAGAAGAAUAGGGACUAAGCCUUAAAAAUGUAGAAAAAACGUGGCGAAGUAACAAACCUUGGCUGCCUGAUUAAAUUGUAGCUUAUACUUGUAUGAAUUUAAUUUUAGAAGGUUUAAUCUCAACUUAACUUUGCAGUCAAAUGUGUCUCAAUGAAGGCUGAAAACGAAGCAACUACUGCACAAGAUAUGAAAAAGGAGUUGCAAGAGCUCAAACUGCAAUAUAAAAAAUUGAAGGUUUAACAUGCUUCAUUUCAUGAUAUUGCUGAUAAAAUGAUUGAGGAGAAGGAUAAUAGGAAUCUUCGUCAAUCUCUUCAAUCAAGACCACAGGUUUUUGUUUUUAUGUUUUUUUUCCUUUCCUGCUUUUAGUAAAUCAUAUGAUUAUUGAGACAUAGAUCUGGUACUUAACAUUCACGUGAUCUUGCAUAUUUAUUCUACUGGUCCGACAAUGGUGUGCUAUAAUCUCAGAUUGACCACAGUGACAAUGAUAAUUAUAACACAGGUAUUAAUUCAUUUAUAUCCUGGCAAAAAUUGUUCUGCUUGCUGAGCGUUUUAAGUAUAUUUUCAUUGUUUCAAAUAUCUGGUGAUUUUCUAGUAUAACGUUUUCUGGAUUUAAAUAUUAUUUCAACUGUUCUGGACAGCCUCGCAUAAAGUGGAUUCAAUGAAUUUAAGCCCCUUUGUUGCAGAACAGCAAAUUCUGCUCCUAGCUAGACAACAAGCUCAAAGAAAAGAAGAACUAGCACGAUCACAACGCCAUAUCUUAGCUCUUCAAGUAUGUCUUAAAGCUUCUUGAGACAGGUGAAGUGGAAGUAUUGCUACCAGUUAUUGGGAUGCUUCUCCAGUUUAGUCCACAAGAGGAUCAAGGUCACACUCUUCAAAUUAAUUCCCUUUCAGCUGUGGAGGAACCCUUAGUUGCAAAAGCAAAAUGUGGAAAUUGGGAGAUAGACAAGAGGUUGUUGAAGAUAGGAGAAAGAAUAGCAUCUAGAUCUUGUGGAGAUUUGUAAUUUGUAGCAUUUUUUGCUGUUUGGAUUUGUAACAUGGUUUAUUAUUUUUUAGAAAAAUUUGUGUAUCAAUAUUUUGAGUUUAAUAAAAUAUCUCAUUUUAUAAUAA
Molecule: long non-coding RNA, 1519 nt
Organism: Arachis duranensis
Lineage: Eukaryota; Viridiplantae; Streptophyta; Magnoliopsida; Fabales; Fabaceae
Exons: 7
Source: RefSeq, a predicted model, not a curated record